CACUAUACCCCGUUGCACAGAAAAAUCAAAAUAAAAAGAAAAUGGAGGGAAAUCAACGGAUCUCCACAAAACACAACCAUCAUUUACUUCAAAAAAUCAAAGAUUUCACCACAUCGUUGGUUAGAGACAUUACCGACGGAAAAUCCCCCGCCAUUUCCAUCGAUAAAUUCAGGAAUUACUGCAUUAAACCCGAUACUAACUGUUUCUGCUUAUCUGAUUUGCCGAAAGGACAAGAAAUUCUCACAUUAAGAAAAGAAUGCAAUUCUCGAAGAAUCGAUGUGUUGCUUAGAGUGCUGGUCAUUGUUCAACAGCUUUUACAAGAGAAUAAACAUGCUUCCAAAAGGGAUAUUUAUUAUAUGCAUCCUUCUGUAUUCUCAGAUCAGUCAGUUGUAGACCAGGCAAUCAAUGACUCAUGUAUCCUUCUUCAGUGCAGCCGUCACAAUUUAAAUGUGGUUUCUGUUGGAAAUGGGUUGGUUAUGGGUUGGCUGCGGUUUUUGGAAGCUGGACGGAAAUUUGAUUGCAUAAAUAAUCCCAGCAAUGUGCAUCCCAUUCCUGUUCAUGUUGAGGAAGUUGAAGAUAUUGUUAGUGUUGCCAAAUACAUACUAGUUGUGGAGAAGGAAUCAGUGUUCCAGCGGUUAGCAAAUGACCGGUUUUGUAAUGCAAACCGCUGUAUUGUCAUCACUGGACGAGGCUAUCCAGAUAUUCCCACAAGAAGGUUCUUGCGGCUUCUGCAUGAAAAUUUGUGUUUGCCUAUCUACUGCUUGGUUGAUUGUGAUCCAUAUGGGUUUGACAUCCUGACUACCUAUCGGUUCGGUUCCAUGCAAAUGGCCUAUGAUGCUAAAUUUCUGCGUGUCCCUGAAAUACGCUGGCUUGGAGUUUUCCCUUCCGAUCUUGAGAAAUAUGACCUUCCCAAGCAGUGUCUGCUUCCUUUGACAGCUGAAGAUAAGAGGAGAACUGAGACCACGUUACUAAGAUGCUACCUGCAAAGGGAAGAACCAGAAUGGAGGUUGGAAUUGGAGUUAAUGCUGCAAAGAGGAGUGAAAUUUGAGAUUGAAGCGUUAUCUGUGCAUUCGCUUUCCUUCCUGUCAGAGCAGUAUAUACCAUCUAAGAUUCAAGGUUUUAUUUGGCAUGUGGAGGAAUGUAGUGGGUAGGAAUUAAGUAGAGAUCAUUUUUCCUCUUCACAACAGAACCAAAAACUUCAUCCAUGUCUAGAGUUUCUGGUUUCACUCCAGAUGGAAGUUGCCAAUCAAAAUGGUAUAGCAACUGUGCAAGUAGAAACUUGACAUUAGAUAUGCCGAACAAUAAUCCUGGACACAUCCUUCUUCCAGCACCAAAUGGUAGAAAUUCAAAAUCUGUCCCUUUAUAAUCAAUGGAGCAAUCAUGGAAUCUCUCGGGAUGGAAUUUCUCAGCUUGCGGCCAGUAAUUGGGAUCCCUUCCAAUUGCCCACGCAUUCACAAUUACCCUGGAUUUGACUGGAAUGUCAUAACCAUUAAUCACACAGCUCUCUCCACAUUCUCUUGGCAGUAACAAUGGAACAGGAGCGUGUAGUCGAAGAGUUUCUUUGAUGACCAACUUUAAGUAGUUGAGCUCAUGGAUUGGUUCGUGAACAUCUCCUUCUGUUGCAAAAACCCUCCUCACCUCUUGUUGUGCCUUUUCCAUCACUCUUGGAUUUUUCAGCAUCUCAGACAUUGCCCAUUCUACUGUUGUAGCUGACGUGUCACUACCGGCAAUAAACAUGUCCUGAAGGAUAUCAAGGUCUCCUUGCUCCUGACAAUUAAGGAGGGCAUCGACAAAAUCUUCAUCAUCAUAAGCGUGCGACUGUUCUUGUACCCUUUUAUUUCUGUGAUCAUCAAUGAUACUUUGGUAUAUGCUAUCUGCUGUUUGAUGAAGUUUCUUAAGCCUACGCACCAUUCUGCUGAACUUGUGAAGCCAUUUUAUGGAAGGAUACACAUCAGCAAGAGCAAAACCUCCAGAAUCUUGUAUCAGUUGCUUUGCAGUUGGUAUGAAAAUAUCUUCUCCAUUCCAUAUCUUACCAAAUGCUGCUCUUGAAAUGAUGCGAUAGGUCACAGCACUGAGCAUCUUGCUAAAGUUGAUUGGUGAUCCUGCUGCACCUGACGACAAGGAUCUGAUAACUUUUGAUACUUCUUCUUCUCUAAUUGAACUGAAUGACUGCACACGUUUCGCUGUUAAUAGCUCGAGCAUGCAAAUUUUUCGCAUCUGUCUCCAAUAAUCACCGUAAGGUGCAAAGGCAAUGUCUGUGAAAUUAUAAGUUGCAACACUGGCAGCAGCCAGAUAAGGCCUAUGAGCAAAGAUGACAUCAUGGGUUUUCAUCACUUGUUUAGCCAUUUCGGGCGUAGAAACGACGACAUUAGUUAUCUCACCCAGCUGAAGAUGCAUAAGAGGUCCAUACUUGUUGGCUAAGUUUCUCAGUUGGCGAUGGGGUAAAGAGCCAGUUAAAUGGUGCAUGCUUCCUAUUAUAGGGAGCUUCCAUGGUCCUGGUGGAAGAUUUGGAAUUGAGCUGUUGGUUUUUGAUUUCUUCCAUAUUCUCUGUACCAUAAACAUGAAGAGGAAGAAGGUGCAAAGGAUAGGGAGGAAAAAGACUUGGUGUUCCAUGGCAAACACUGAUUUCUCAAAAGAAGAGAUAAUGGAGAAAUUGCGGUUUAUCUAUAUAUUGAGGUUGUUAUUGUGUUGGCUGCAGUUUCUGGAAGAUGGAAGGAAAUUUGAUUGCAUAAAUAGUCCCAGCAAUGAGUGGCUAAACUUCAUUAUAUUUCAAGAAACAUUAAUAGUUUUUUAUUUGGCAAGCGGAGGAAUAUAUGGCGUAGGAUGUAAAUGGAGUUCAUUUUUCCUCUUUACUACAACGCCAAAAACUUCAUCCAUGUCCAGAGUUUCUGGUUUCACUCCAUUGGGUAGUUUCCAAUCGAAAUGGUAUAGCAACUGUGCAAGUGGAAACUCGACAUUAGAUAUGCCAAACGAUACUCCUGCACACAUCCUUCUUCCAGCACCAAAAGGGAGAAGUUCAAAAUCCGCUCCCUUAUAAUCGAUGGAGCAAUCCUGGAAUCUCUCUGGAUAGAAUUUGUCAGGUUCCACCCAGUAAUUGGGAUCUCUUCCAAUGGCCCAUGCGUUCACAAUUACUUGGGAUUUGAUUGGAAUGUCAUAACCAUUAAUCACACAGUUCUCUCUGCAUUCUCUUGGGACUAAUAAUGGAAGAGGAGGGUGUAAUCUUAGCGUUUCUUUGAUGACCAAUUUCAAGUAGUUGAGUUCCUGAAUGCGGGCUUCGUCCACAUUUCCAUCUUUAUCAAAGACUCUCCUCACCUCUUGUUGUGCCUUUUCCAUCACUCUGGUAUUUUUUAGAAGCUCAGACAUUGCCCAUUCUACUGUUGUGGAUGAUGUCUCGCUACCGGCUGAGAAAAUGUCCUGAAGUAAGAAAUAUUGUGCAAAUUAGAUACCAUACAGAUUUUUAUUUGUGAACUAAAGAUGAAGGUAAAUUGGUGUUGUAAGUACUGACCAAAAUGACUGCUUUUACGUUGUCGUCUGUUAAAGGGAUGUCAAGCUCUCCUUGCUCCUGAUAGUUGAGAAGGACAUCUACAAAAUCUUCUUUAACAUAAGCAUGUGAUUUUGCUUCUGCCCUUUCAGCUCUGUGGUCAUCAAUGAUGUUUUGGCAAAUGUUAUCUAAUUGCUGAUGAAUCCUUUGAAGUCUAGGCACCGUUCCGCUGAACCAGUGGAACAAUUUGACGGAAGGAUACACAUCAACGAGAGAAAAACCUCCACAUGCUUCUAACGCUUUCUUGACAAUUGGUAUGAAGAUUUCUUCUCCCUUCCAUAUCUUGCCAAAUGCUGCUCUUGAAAUGAUGCUAUAGGUCAAAGCACUGAACACCUUGCUAAAGUUGAUCGGUGAUCCUGCUGCACUUGAAGACAAGGAUCUCAUAAGUUUUGAUACUUCUUCUUCCCUUAUAGAUCUGAACGACUCCACGCGUUUUGCGGUUUAUAGCUCGAGUGUGCAGAUUUUUCGCAUCUGUCUCCAAUAAUCUCCGUAUGGCGCAAAUCCGAUGUUUUUGUAAUUAUAAGUUAUAACACUUACAGCAAGGACACAGGGCCUUUGCGCGAAGAUGAUAUCAUGUGUUUUCAUCACUUGUUUAGCCAUUUCUGGCGAAGAAACGACGACAUUACUAAGCUCGCCGAGCUGAAGAUGCAUAAGAGGUCCAUACUUGGUGGCCAAGUCUCUAAGGCGGCGAUGGGGUAGAGAGCCAGCUAAAUGGUGCAUGCUUCCUAUUAUAGGUAACUUCCAUGGACCUGGUGGAAGAUUUGGAACUGAGUUGCUGAUUUUUGAUUUCUUCCAUAUCCUCAAUACCAUAAAGAUGAAGAGGAAGAAGGUCAAAAGGACUGGAAUGCAAGAAAAUUGGUAUUCCAUGGCAAAGAAAGUGAUUUCUCUAGAAAAUAAGACUUAAUGGGACAAAUUGGAGAUAUAUUGAGGUCAGUGAAUGCACAGAUACUCUUUAUUGUUGCUUGCUUAGUUAGUCAUUUGAUUAAACAAGUGCAUAAGUGAGCAUGAUCUCAUUAUAAUAAUCCUUUCAAUAGGCUGUAGAUCAUGCAUUAAUAGUUGAAUUUAAAACACAUUUAUCAUAAAAUAGUCUUAAGGCAGAAAAAUAUAAAUGGUGGCAGCUGGCUCUCGAAUGAAGAAACAUUUAGAAAAUAUGCUGUAGACUAGUUGAACAUGUGAUAGUGAAAUAAAAUAAGCUUAUUAUGAGUGCUAAUGUAUCACUCUUUUGGGAUUUCAAAUAAAAAGCUUAUUAUAAGUGAUAAUAGUGAAAUAAAAUAAACUUAUACCGUCUCUUUUAAAGUGACAUUUAAGUUCUACGCAUAUAUUAAAGAAAUUAAUAAUUAGUCUUUUUUUUAAA
Molecule: RNA transcript, 4895 nt
Organism: Mercurialis annua (annual mercury)
Lineage: Eukaryota; Viridiplantae; Streptophyta; Magnoliopsida; Malpighiales; Euphorbiaceae
Gene name: meiotic recombination protein SPO11-1
Exons: 19
Source: RefSeq, a predicted model, not a curated record